GGAAAGGCGCGCGAUACAGGGUGACAGCCCCGUACACAAAAAUGCACAUGCUGUGAGCUCGAUGAGUAGGGCGGGACACGUGGUAUCCUGUCUGAAUAUGGGGGGACCAUCCUCCAAGGCUAAAUACUCCUGACUGACCGAUAGUGAACCAGUACCGUGAGGGAAAGGCGAAAAGAACCCCGGCGAGGGGAGUGAAAAAGAACCUGAAACCGUGUACGUACAAGCAGUGGGAGCACGCUUAGGCGUGUGACUGCGUACCUUUUGUAUAAUGGGUCAGCGACUUAUAUUCUGUAGCAAGGUUAACCGAAUAGGGGAGCCGAAGGGAAACCGAGUCUUAACUGGGCGUUAAGUUGCAGGGUAUAGACCCGAAACCCGGUGAUCUAGCCAUGGGCAGGUUGAAGGUUGGGUAACACUAACUGGAGGACCGAACCGACUAAUGUUGAAAAAUUAGCGGAUGACUUGUGGCUGGGGGUGAAAGGCCAAUCAAACCGGGAGAUAGCUGGUUCUCCCCGAAAGCUAUUUAGGUAGCGCCUCGUGAAUUCAUCUCCGGGGGUAGAGCACUGUUUCGGCAAGGGGGUCAUCCCGACUUACCAACCCGAUGCAAACUGCGAAUACCGGAGAAUGUUAUCACGGGAGACACACGGCGGGUGCUAACGUCCGUCGUGAAGAGGGAAACAACCCAGACCGCCAGCUAAGGUCCCAAAGUCAUGGUUAAGUGGGAAACGAUGUGGGAAGGCCCAGACAGCCAGGAUGUUGGCUUAGAAGCAGCCAUCAUUUAAAGAAAGCGUAAUAGCUCACUGGUCGAGUCGGCCUGCGCGGAAGAUGUAACGGGGCUAAACCAUGCACCGAAGCUGCGGCAGCGACGCUGAUGCGUUGUUGGGUAGGGGAGCGUUCUGUAAGCCUGCGAAGGUGUGC
Molecule: ribosomal RNA, 915 nt
Filed under: Escherichia coli
Lineage: Bacteria; Pseudomonadati; Pseudomonadota; Gammaproteobacteria; Enterobacterales; Enterobacteriaceae
Description: partial 23S ribosomal RNA
Rfam family: Bacterial large subunit ribosomal RNA
Source: RNAcentral